UGGGGAAUAUUGGACAAUGGGCGAAAGCCUGAUCCAGCCAUGCCGCGUGUGUGAAGAAGGUCUUCGGAUUGUAAAGCACUUUACGUUGGGAGGAAGGGCAUUAACCUAAUACGUUAGUGUUUUGACGUUACCGACAGAAUAAGCACCGGCUAACUCUGUGCUAGCAGCCGCGGUAAUACAGAGGGUGCAAGCGUUAAUCGGAAUUACUGGGCGUAAAGCGCGCGUAGGUGGUUUGUUAAGUUGGAUGUGGAAUCCCCGGGCUCAACCAGGGAACUGCAGUCAAAACUGACUGACUAGAGUAUGGUAUAGGGUGGUGGAAUUUCCUGUGUAGCGGUGAAAUGCGGAGAUAUAGGAAGGAACACCAGUGGCGAAGGCGACCACCUGGACUAAUACUGACACUGAGGUGCGAAAGCGUGGGGAGCAAACA
Molecule: ribosomal RNA, 427 nt
Filed under: uncultured bacterium
Lineage: Bacteria
Description: partial 16S ribosomal RNA
Rfam family: Bacterial small subunit ribosomal RNA
Source: RNAcentral